Molecule: ribosomal RNA, 253 nt
Filed under: uncultured bacterium
Lineage: Bacteria
Description: partial 16S ribosomal RNA
Rfam family: Bacterial small subunit ribosomal RNA
Source: RNAcentral
UACGAAGGGUGCAAACGUUGCUCGGAAUUAUUGGGCGUAAAGCGCACGUAGGCGGCUUGGCAAGUCGGAUGUGAAAUCCCUCGGCUCAACCAAGGAAGUGCAUCCGAAACUGCCGAGCUUGAGUACUUAAGAGGAUCGCGGAAUUCCCGGUGUAGAGGUGAAAUUCGUAGAUAUUGGGAAGAACACCAGUGGCGAAGGCGGCUAACUGGUCCAGUACUGACGCUGAGGUGCGAAAGCGUGGGGAGCAAACAGG